CCUACGGGGGGCAGCAGUGGGGAAUAUUGGACAAUGGGGGCAACCCUGAUCCAGCCAUGCCGCGUGUGUGAAGAAGGCCCUCGGGUUGUAAAGCACUUUCAGUGAGGAAGAACGCCUGGUGGUUAAUACCCAUCAGGAAAGACAUCACUCACAGAAGAAGCACCGGCUAACUCCGUGCCAGCAGCCGCGGUAAUACGGAGGGUGCGAGCGUUAAUCGGAAUUACUGGGCGUAAAGCGCGCGUAGGUGGCUUGAUAAGCCGGUUGUGAAAGCCCCGGGCUCAACCUGGGAACGGCAUCCGGAACUGUUAAGCUAGAGUGCAGGAGAGGAAGGUAGAAUUCCCGGUGUAGCGGUGAAAUGCGUAGAGAUCGGGAGGAAUACCAGUGGCGAAGGCGGCCUUCUGGACUGACACUGACACUGAGGUGCGAAAGCGUGGGUAGCAAACAGGAUUAGAUACCCCGGUAGUC
RNAcentral lists this ribosomal RNA (465 nucleotides) under Vreelandella stevensii. RNAcentral's name for it is "partial 16S ribosomal RNA". It matches the Rfam family "Bacterial small subunit ribosomal RNA", at positions 338 to 795 of the family's 1533-position model. Lineage: Bacteria; Pseudomonadati; Pseudomonadota; Gammaproteobacteria; Oceanospirillales; Halomonadaceae. The record is from RNAcentral.